CGACGCGGCUCAGGAUUGGCCACAUGCUAAAUGUUACAACUGUUAUAUCUGAGCCGCUCACUGUGAUUGGUCAAACUUUAUUCCACUCCCUAGUCCAGGGCAUGUGUCAGGAAGUUGCACUGCAGUGCUGCUGCUGAAUGCUGAUGGUGUACUGUGUGUAUAUAUCUGGGCAGAGGCGCUAGAUCCCCUUCAGUUAAUGUAGCAUAAACGUGUAAUAUUCUAAGCUGUAUUUAUUGAUUUUAAAUACUAACUGCCACCGAAAUCCAGAUUGAGACACUUCCGGUAUCGGAGGGGUACUUCCGGCCAGGAACAUUUAAAUAACUGACAGCUGGGCAUAUCCAGCAUGCAGCUACAAACUUACCUGAAUCAUUUGCGCUUAUUGGACGUUCAAGAGAUUGAAGUAUUGGUAGCUGCAUCUAAUCUCUCGCAGGGAGACGACCAGAUAUGUUUCUGAAUUUACAGAGGCUCUUGCUCUGGAGUCCUUGUCCCAGGCUCCACAUAGAGAAAUUGUGACCUAGAGAAAUUGUGACCUUGUGACGGUCGCCCAGUGUACCACAGAUACGAUGUACAGCCUGUUCUGAAAAAGGUUCGUGAUCAAACCGAAACGUCGACUGUAAAGGCAUUCUGUGACCAGAUUAAACCUUAUGAAUUAAAACCUUGAAGCGAUUUUUUGACAGCGAGAGUGCACCCUCCACUAAAUGGCUUCUACCAAUGGUAAUCCACUGCAGCACAGCUUCUUCCAACUGUCAGAGAUCCAAGUGUAACACUGGCAAUGUGCAGGGAGAACCAAACCUGUUGAGGCAUCUUUGUCCUGGCAAUGGGAGAUUAAGCUGACAGUUACUACAACAAAUAAAUGUGGGAGGAGAGAUAUACAACUUGUGUGAGUAGAAUAAGUCCAUGGGCUGCAUUUGUGAAGGGAGAUCAGGGAUGCUUUAAUAAUGAUAGCGAGAAUUUGUUGGGAUGUUAUGCUGAUCUUGGUCAAAUCCAGCCCCAGGCUGCUGUGUUUGGAAUGGUGCCUUUUCCGAUUAUCUCUAUGGCUACUGUGCUUAAUGCUCAACCUGGACCGACAGGCCUGGCAGGCAGAAACUGCUCAGGCAAAUGAUGUCAGGGAAUCUAGUGCAAGUCCAAAAAGACAGAUGACACCCAGCAGGAGCAGCAAGCCAAGUCUGUGGAAUCCACAGUACAGCUGGCUCGCCCCAGGGGGGUGCCUUUUUGAAGUGGAAGAGACAUCACCAAUGAGCUGUCAAAUUAGUUCAUAAGGCUGGAAAUGCUGCAGAGAUGGAGUCCCUCCUAUGAAGAGGAGCAAGUUUAAUAGAUAAAGAUUAUACUAAAUAUCUAUGGUAUACAGAAAGCAAAAAAUCAUCUGACAAUAAAAUCCGCUAAAAAAUA
Molecule: long non-coding RNA, 1389 nt
Organism: Pseudophryne corroboree (corroboree frog)
Lineage: Eukaryota; Metazoa; Chordata; Amphibia; Anura; Myobatrachidae
Exons: 6
Source: RefSeq, a predicted model, not a curated record